UACGGAGGGCGCAAGCGUUGUUCGGAAUCACUGGGCGUAAAGCGCGUGUAGGCGGCUUGGCAAGUCGGGUGUGAAAGCCCGGGGCCUAACCCCGGAACUGCAUUCGAAACUGCCUCGCUCGAGUCCCGGAGAGGAUGGUGGAAUUCCCGGUGUAGUGGUGAAAUACGUAGAUAUCGGGAGGAACACCAGCGGCGAAGGCGGCCAUCUGGACGGUGACUGACGCUGAGACGCGAAAGCGUGGGGAGCAAACAGG
This 253-nucleotide ribosomal RNA is filed under the name uncultured bacterium. RNAcentral describes it as "partial 16S ribosomal RNA". It matches the Rfam family "Bacterial small subunit ribosomal RNA", at positions 524 to 776 of the family's 1533-position model. The record is from RNAcentral.